GCCAGGCAUGGUGGUGCAUGCCUGUAAUCCCAGCUAUUUGGGAGGUUAAGAAAGAAUGAUCAUAAGUUCAAGGUCAGCCUCAGAAACUUAGUGAGACCCUGUCUCAA
RNAcentral lists this small RNA (107 nucleotides) under Marmota monax (woodchuck). Lineage: Eukaryota; Metazoa; Chordata; Mammalia; Rodentia; Sciuridae. The record is from RNAcentral.